Long non-coding RNA from Quercus lobata, 1251 nucleotides. RefSeq lists it as uncharacterized. NCBI's taxonomy places the organism in Eukaryota, Viridiplantae, Streptophyta, Magnoliopsida, Fagales, Fagaceae. The record is from RefSeq and is a predicted model, not a curated record. The transcript is spliced from 4 exons.
UGGACCAAGUAGCUUCACCAAGUUGCAAAAAAAUUAUUAGAUGUCUCAAACUCAAACUCUUAAUAACUAAACUUUCCCACCAUGUUACAAUUAUUCAUAAAGUGAAGGAAAAAAAAUGUUAAUAUCAACAUCAAGCUUUUGUGUUUAUCCAAAAAUAAAUAGAGGAAAGUUGAUAAGAAAAAUUAAAAUUUUGUAUUUAUCAUUAGUAGAGGAAAAGUUAAUAAGAACAAUUAAGAUUUUGUGUCUAUCUCAAAAAAUUGCUUCAAUUUUUUGCUUACCUUCAAGUAUAUCUAAAACUUGAGAUUAGAUCAUAGGGAAUAAAUCAAUUGGGAAAAAAAAAAUUUUAAUUAUAAAUAUUUUUGCUCUGCCUCCCUUGAACUGCUCAUUCGGACUAUGCUCUCUCUAUCAUGAAGGUGUAUCAGCAUCCUUAUCCAAUAGGAAAUGGGUUAGCAAUGGAAGCUAUAAUGGAAGCACCACAAUGUAUUGUACCAGGCCAGAUUGUGUGGAUACUUUAAGCAUGCCAACAAUGAAAGCUACGAGUUCUAUUUUCCUCUCCAAGGAAGUCUUCUAUAAAGAAACAAAAUAAGGGACACCCAUUUCAGUUCUUGGUUUCCUUAAGGGCCCGAGAACCGAAGAAUGAUACAAUGAGAUGUGGUCAUCACUAUAAAAGCAUUGUAAGCCCAAAGAGGGGAUUUACUAGAGGAUAGGAGGAGAAGAGACAAAAGACUCCUAGGAAGUCCGAAUGAGGAGGAUGGGGUUUAGAGAGAGAAUCAUGGUAGGUAAAGGAAGUUUCUAGUAAAAGGUCAUCUACUGCCUCCGCAUUAAAUGACUGGCAACAGCUUUAUCAGCUGCAUUGAUGAGGAAGUGACCUGAACAGUGGAAUUCACAGCUAAGCAGUUCCUUCUACCACAUUCAACAAAAGUUUAAGGGGACAAGUGUCAUAGGGAGAGUCUGGGUAAGUGGAGACGAAGGGCCAGGAUACGAUGGGCCGAUGAGUAUAUAAAGAAAGGGAACUUCCAGAUGACAGGGAUCCAGAGAAAAAUAUUCUAAGGACAGAAAUUAGAGAAAGAACAUUAAGAGAGAGAGAAAGUGAACAACAAAUCACUUAUUGUUUUAGCUUUGUCCUCGGGCGAGCUUGUAAAGAGCCUCUUAUACAUUAAACUGUGACUUCCAGUUGUUCCUUCUCUGUUUAUAUCCUUGGGCUAAGCCCUUCCCUUGUUUUACCCCACUCUCUUUUUAAAUAUUUAUUGA